Molecule: ribosomal RNA, 484 nt
Filed under: uncultured bacterium
Lineage: Bacteria
Description: partial 16S ribosomal RNA
Rfam family: Bacterial small subunit ribosomal RNA
Source: RNAcentral
AUUGAACGCUGGCGGCAGGCCUAACACAUGCAAGUCGAGCGGAUGAAGGGAGCUUGCUCCUGGAUUCAGCGGCGGACGGGUGAGUAAUGCCUAGGAAUCUGCCUGGUAGUGGGGGAUAACGUCCGGAAACGGGCGCUAAUACCGCAUACGUCCUGAGGGAGAAAGUGGGGGAUCUUCGGACCUCACGCUAUCAGAUGAGCCUAGGUCGGAUUAGCUAGUUGGUGGGGUAAAGGCCUACCAAGGCGACGAUCCGUAACUGGUCUGAGAGGAUGAUCAGUCACACAGGAACUGAGACACGGUCCAGACUCGUACGGGAGGCAGAAGUGGGGAAUAUUGGACAAUGGGCGAAAGCCUGAUCAAGCCAUGCCGCGUGUGUGAAGAAGGUCUUCGGAUUGUAAAGCACUUUAAGUUGGGAGGAAGGGCAGUAAGUUAAUACCUUACUGUUUUGACGUUACCAACAGAAUAAGCACCGGCUAACUUCGUG